CAGGCUUAACACAUGCAAGUCGAGGGGCAGCAUGGUCUUAGCUUGCUAAGGCCGAUGGCGACCGGCGCACGGGUGAGUAACACGUAUCCAACCUGCCGUCUACUCUUGGACAGCCUUCUGAAAGGAAGAUUAAUACAAGAUGGCAUCAUGAGUCCGCAUGUUCACAUGAUUAAAGGUAUUCCGGUAGACGAUGGGGAUGCGUUCCAUUAGAUAGUAGGCGGGGUAACGGCCCACCUAGUCUUCGAUGGAUAGGGGUUCUGAGAGGAAGGUCCCCCACAUUGGAACUGAGACACGGUCCAAACUCCUACGGGAGGCAGCAGUGAGGAAUAUUGGUCAAUGGGCGAGAGCCUGAACCAGCCAAGUAGCGUGAAGGAUGACUGCCCUAUGGGUUGUAAACUUCUUUUAUAAAGGAAUAAAGUCGGGUAUGGAUACCCGUUUGCAUGUACUUUAUGAAUAAGGAUCGGCUAACUCCGUGCCAGCAGCCGCGGUAAUACGGAGGAUCCGAGCGUUAUCCGGAUUUAUUGGGUUUAAAGGGAGCGUAGAUGGAUGUUUAAGUCAGUUGUGAAAGUUUGCGGCUCAACCGUAAAAUUGCAGUUGAUACUGGAUAUCUUGAGUGCAGUUGAGGCAGGCGGAAUUCGUGGUGUAGCGGUGAAAUGCUUAGAUAUCACGAAGAACUCCGAUUGCGAAGGCAGCCUGCUAAGCUGCAACUGACAUUGAGGCUCGAAAGUGUGGGUAUCAAACAGGAUUAGAUACCCUGGUAGUCCACACGGUAAACGAUGAAUACUCGCUGUUUGCGAUAUACUGCAAGCGGCCAAGCGAGAGCGUUAAGUAUUCCACCUGGGGAGUACGCCGGCAACGGUGAAACUCAAAGGAAUUGACGGGGGCCCGCACAAGCGGAGGAACAUGUGGUUUAAUUCGAUGAUACGCGAGGAACCUUACCCGGGCUUAAAUUGCAGAUGAAUUACGGUGAAAGCCGUAAGCCGCAAGGCAUCUGUGAAGGUGCUGCAUGGUUGUCGUCAGUUCGUGCCGUGAGGUGUCGGCUUAAGUGCCAUAACGAGCGCAACCCUUGUUGUCAGUUACUAACAGGUUCCGCUGAGGACUCUGACAAGACUGCCAUCGUAAGAUGUGAGGAAGGUGGGGAUGACGUCAAAUCCGCACGGCCCUUACGUCCGGGGCUACACACGUGUUACAAUGGGGGGUACAGAGGGCCGCUACCACGCGAGUGGAUGCCAAUCCCCAAAACCUCUCUCAGUUCGGACUGGAGUCUGCAACCCGACUCCACGAAGCUGGAUUCGCUAGUAAUCGCGCAUCAGCCACGGCGCGGUGAAUACGUUCCCGGGCCUUGUACACACCGCCCGUCAAGCCAUGGGAGCCGGGGGUACCUGAAGUGCGUAACCGCGAGGAGCGCCCUAGGGUAAAACUGGUGACUG
This 1430-nucleotide ribosomal RNA is filed under the name uncultured organism. RNAcentral's name for it is "16S ribosomal RNA". It matches the Rfam family "Bacterial small subunit ribosomal RNA". The record is from RNAcentral.